This 468-nucleotide ribosomal RNA is filed under the name uncultured bacterium. RNAcentral describes it as "partial 16S ribosomal RNA". It matches the Rfam family "Bacterial small subunit ribosomal RNA", at positions 28 to 507 of the family's 1533-position model. The record is from RNAcentral.
GACGAACGCUGGCGGCGUGCUUAACGCAUGCAAGUCGAACGGAAAGGCCCUGCUUUUGUGGGGUGCUCGAGUGGCGAACGGGUGAGUAACACGUGAGUAACCUGCCCUUGACUUUGGGAUAACUUCAGGAAACUGGGGCUAAUACCGGAUAGGAGCUCCUGCUGCAUGGUGGGGGUUGGAAAGUUUCGGCGGUUGGGGAUGGACUCGCGGCUUAUCAGCUUGUUGGUGGGGUAGUGGCUUACCAAGGCUUUGACGGGUAGCCGGCCUGAGAGGGUGACCGGCCACAUUGGGACUGAGAUACGGCCCAGACUCCUACGGGAGGCAGCAGUGGGGAAUAUUGCACAAUGGGCGGAAGCCUGAUGCAGCAACGCCGCGUGCGGGAUGACGGCCUUGGGGUUGUAAACCGCUUUCGCCUGUGACGAAGCGUGAGUGACGGUAAUGGGUAAAGAAGCACCGGCUAACUACGUG